GCUACGGGUGGCAGCAGUGGGGAAUAUUGCACAAUGGGCGAAAGCCUGAUGCAGCAACGCCGCGUGAAGGAAGAAGGGUUUCGGCUCGUAAACUUCUAUCAACAGGGACGAAAGAAAUGACGGUACACACAGAGGAAGCACAUGCUAACACCGUGCCAGCAGCCGCGGUAAUACGGAGGGUGCAAUCGUUGUCCGGAAGCAUGUGGCGUAAAGAGGUCGUAGGCGGCAUGUAAAGGCAGGUGUUAAAGGCGAAGGCUCAACCUGUGUAUGGUAGUUGUUACUUGCAAGCUGGAAUGCGGUGGAGGUAAAGGGAAUUCCUGGUGUAGCGGUGAAAUGCUUAGAUAUCAGGAGGAACAUCGGUGGCGUAAGCGCUUUACUGGACCGUAAUUGACGCUGAGGAACGAAAGCCAGGGUAGCAAAUGGGAUUAGAUACCCUUGUAGUC
Molecule: ribosomal RNA, 443 nt
Filed under: uncultured bacterium
Lineage: Bacteria
Description: partial 16S ribosomal RNA
Rfam family: Bacterial small subunit ribosomal RNA
Source: RNAcentral